UACUUAAUAAGUCGUAUUAAAUUCUUGACAAAAGAACAAUAACAAAAGAAUAUUCAGCUAAAUGAGUAAGAGAGUCCCAUUUGCAAUCAGCAAAUUACAAGCCCAUUUUAUUGCUUCAAGCUCAUGAACAUACCUGGAACUAACAACUAUAUAACUUCAGCAAGGAAAUAGAAAUAUUAGUAGCUCUUAGACAACAGUAAACAACAACGAUCAACCAUGUUUUGAGCCCAGGAAAGUAGUAGUGUAUUCAAGCUUUUUAAAACAACCCAAGAGAGAUCAAAACCAGCUGCAAUGAAACAGUACUUGGAGAUUUUUUCUUUUUUUUUUCUUUUGUUUUUCUUUCUGAAUCUUAAACUCUAACAGUGUAUAUGUAUUUCAGCCGUUUGCUAGCUUUUUAUCUUCUAGUCUCUC
RNAcentral lists this long non-coding RNA (411 nucleotides) under Nicotiana benthamiana. RNAcentral's name for it is "long non-coding RNA (NBEN_LNC020123)". The record is from RNAcentral. Lineage: Eukaryota; Viridiplantae; Streptophyta; Magnoliopsida; Solanales; Solanaceae.